AAUUCAACUUGACUUAGUGGCGGACGGGUGAGUAACGCGUGAGCAACCUGCCUACAAAGGGGGACAACAGUUGGAAACGACUGCUAAUACCGCAUAAGACCACGCUAUCGCAUGGUAGAGAGGUCAAAGAUUUAUCGCUUGUAGAUGGGCUCGCGUCUGAUUAGCUGGUUGGUGAGGUAAUGGCUCACCAAGGCGACGAUCAGUAGCCGACCUGAGAGGGUGAUCGGCCACACUGGAACUGAGACACGGUCCAGACUCC
RNAcentral lists this ribosomal RNA (259 nucleotides) under uncultured bacterium. Its description in RNAcentral is "partial 16S ribosomal RNA". It matches the Rfam family "Bacterial small subunit ribosomal RNA", at positions 79 to 339 of the family's 1533-position model. The record is from RNAcentral.